Molecule: signal recognition particle RNA, 148 nt
Filed under: Chlorocebus sabaeus (green monkey)
Lineage: Eukaryota; Metazoa; Chordata; Mammalia; Primates; Cercopithecidae
Description: Metazoan signal recognition particle RNA
Rfam family: Metazoan signal recognition particle RNA
About the family: The signal recognition particle (SRP) is a universally conserved ribonucleoprotein. It is involved in the co-translational targeting of proteins to membranes.
Source: Rfam by way of RNAcentral
GCCAGGUGUGGUGGCGCACACCUGUAGUCCCAGCUACUUAGGAGGCUGAGGCAGAAGAAUCGCUUGAACCCAGGAGGCAGAGGUUGCAGUGAGCCGAGAUCAUGUCACUGCACUCCAGCCUGGGCGACAGAGUGAGACUCUGUCUCAA